GUAAAGGCCCUUUUUAGGGCCACGCACAAUUUGAUUUGACUUCUUU
Schistosoma mansoni is the source of this 46-nucleotide non-coding RNA. Lineage: Eukaryota; Metazoa; Platyhelminthes; Trematoda; Strigeidida; Schistosomatidae. The record is from Rfam.